AAAAACCUCUCUUCAUUCCCUUCCGCCGUUCUCAAUUUUGCGAUCGAUGAGUCUCAUUAGUCGUUAUACUCACUGAAAUCAAUCCGUUUUCUGCUUAAUUUUGUAUUGACUUGUUUGCUGCUGGUUUACCGACAUGGCGAAAGCUAUAAGCCUCGAAGAGAUCAAAAAUGAGACUGUUGAUCUGGAGAAAAUCCCCAUUGAAGAAGUGUUUGAACAACUGAAAUGUUCGCGAGAGGGUCUGACUUCGGACGAAGGAGCCAACAGGCUUCAA
RNAcentral lists this unclassified non-coding RNA (271 nucleotides) under Hevea brasiliensis (rubber tree). The record is from RNAcentral. Lineage: Eukaryota; Viridiplantae; Streptophyta; Magnoliopsida; Malpighiales; Euphorbiaceae.